AUUGAACGCUGGCGGCAUGCUUUACACAUGCAAGUCGAACGGUAACAGGCCUUCGGGUGCUGACGAGUGGCGAACGGGUGAGUAAUGCAUCGGAACGUACCCAGAGGUGGUGGAUAACGCAGCGAAAGCUGUGCUAAUACUGCAUGUGAUCUGAGGAUGAAAGCGGGGGAGGGGGCAGCAAUGUUUGGCCUCGCGCCUUUGGAGCGGCCGAUGUCGGAUUAGCUAGUUGGUGGGUUAAAGGCCUAGCAAGGCGAGGAUCCGUAGCUGGUCUGAGAGGCCGACCAGCCACCCUGGGACUGAGCCACGCCCCAUACUCCUACGGGAGGCCGCAGUGUGCAAUGUUGGACAACGGGCGCAAGCCUUAUCCAGCAAUGCGGCGUGCGGGACGAAGGCCUUCCGUUUGUAAUCACCUUCUGGCAGGAACGAAACGGUGUCCGCUAAUACCGGGCGCUAAUGACGGUACCUGCAGAAUAAGCACCGGCUAACUACGUG
Molecule: ribosomal RNA, 492 nt
Filed under: uncultured bacterium
Lineage: Bacteria
Description: partial 16S ribosomal RNA
Rfam family: Bacterial small subunit ribosomal RNA
Source: RNAcentral